CCUACGGGUGGCUGCAGUGGGGAAUAUUGGACAAUGGGCGCAAGCCUGAUCCAGCAAUGCCGCGUGAGUGAAGAAGGUCUUAGGAUUGUAAAGCUCUUUCGGUGGGGACGUGACGGACCCAAUAAGCCCCGGCUAACUUCGUGCCAGCAGCCACGGUAAUACGAAGGGGGCUAGCGUUGCUCGGAAUGACUGGGCGUAAAGGGCGCGUAGGCGGCUUGUAUAGUCAGAUGUGAAAUUCCUGGGCUCAACCUGGGGACUGUAUUUGAUCCGUGCAGGAUUGAGUGUGGAAGAGGGUCGUGGAAUUCCCAGUGUAGAGGUGAAAUUCGUAGAUAUUGGGAAGAACACCGGUGGCGAAGGCGGCGACCUGGUCAUACUGACGCUGAGGCGCGAAAGCGUGGGGAGCAAACAGGAUUAGAUACCCUUGUAGUC
RNAcentral lists this ribosomal RNA (429 nucleotides) under uncultured bacterium. RNAcentral describes it as "partial 16S ribosomal RNA". It matches the Rfam family "Bacterial small subunit ribosomal RNA", at positions 338 to 795 of the family's 1533-position model. The record is from RNAcentral.